UGCAAGUCGACGAGAAAGUUCCUUCGGGAACGAGUACAGUGGCGAACGGGUGUAUAACACGUGAGAAUCUACCCUUGAGUGAAGGAUACCUUCGAGAAAUCGGAGUUAAUACUGCAUAAUCGGGUCACCAGAGAUGGUGAUUUGGAAAGACGGCCUCUUGCUGUCGCUUAAGGAUGAGCUCGCGGACUAUUAGUUAGUUGGUGGGGUAAAAGCCUACCAAGACUAUGAUGGUUAGCCGGCCUGAGAGGGUGACCGGCCACAUUGGGACUGAGAUACGGCCCAGACUCCUACGGGAGGCAGCAGUGGGAAAUAUUGCACAAUGGACGCAAGUCUGAUGCAGCGACGCCGCGUGGGGGAUGAAGGUUUUCGGAUCGUAAACUCCUGUUAAGAGGGAAGAAAUAGCCUUGAGUAAUAUGCAAGGAAGAUGACGGUACCUCUAAAGAAAGCUCCGGCUAACUUCGUGCCAGCAGCCGCGGUAAUACGAAGGGAGCAAGCGUUAUUCGGAAUAACUGGGCGUAAAGAGCGUGUAGGUGGCAUUAUAAGUCAGUUGUUAAAUAUCACAGCCUAACUGUGAAACUGCGAUUGAAACUGUAAAGCUAGAGGGCAGAAGAGAGAAGUGGAAUUCUUGGAGUAGCGGUAAUAUGCGUAGAUCUCAAGAGGAACACCGAUUGCGAAGGCAGCUUCUUGGUCUGUACCUG
RNAcentral lists this ribosomal RNA (698 nucleotides) under uncultured bacterium. RNAcentral describes it as "bacterial SSU rRNA". It matches the Rfam family "Bacterial small subunit ribosomal RNA", at positions 56 to 742 of the family's 1533-position model. The record is from RNAcentral.